This 361-nucleotide long non-coding RNA is filed under the name Octopus sinensis (East Asian common octopus). RNAcentral's name for it is "uncharacterized LOC118765053, transcript variant X1". The record is from RNAcentral. Lineage: Eukaryota; Metazoa; Mollusca; Cephalopoda; Octopoda; Octopodidae.
GUGCAGUAAGAGGUUGUGCUGCUCUAUAUAGAUUAUGUCUGCCUUUGCUGUUACUUGUCCAAAUUCAGAUAACAACAGUCUGUCAGGGGAUGAGCCAAUGAAGGAAGCUCCAAUGCAGUGGUUCUCAAAAUGGAGUCUGUGGUGCCCGAGGAGACUACGAAAGGACACUGAAGUAUCAUGAAAACAGGAUGACUUGAGACAGUCUUCCCCACAAGUUCUGACCUCAACAGUUUAAAUGAAACAUUAAUAGCAUGAAGCUCACUAAUCUUAGAAAACCUGCAUGGCCUGCAAAGGUCAGGGGCAAUAGCAAUUCCUCCAGACUAGGCAACAACAAAAAAAAUAUUUCAAAGGAAAACUUUUA